GUCCGGUUAGCUCAGUUGGUGGAGCAUCAGACUUUUAAUCUGAGGGCCAUGGGUUCGAGUCCCAUAUCGGGCU
RNAcentral lists this transfer RNA (73 nucleotides) under Paramuricea clavata. It matches the Rfam family "tRNA". From Rfam's summary of the family: Transfer RNA (tRNA) molecules are approximately 80 nucleotides in length. The record is from Rfam by way of RNAcentral. Lineage: Eukaryota; Metazoa; Cnidaria; Anthozoa; Malacalcyonacea; Plexauridae.